This is a long non-coding RNA of Anguilla rostrata (American eel), 2434 nucleotides long. RefSeq lists it as uncharacterized. The transcript is spliced from 2 exons. Lineage: Eukaryota; Metazoa; Chordata; Actinopteri; Anguilliformes; Anguillidae. The record is from RefSeq and is a predicted model, not a curated record.
CUGGGCCCUGCCUGUUGCUGAAAACUCAAGAGCUUGGUUUGCCUUCACACACCAGAACACGCAAUACACAUGGAAACGCAUGCCUCAGGGCUUUCAUAACAGCCCUACGCUUUUCCAUCGCGCAAUGGCCAAGAUUCUAGCAACAGUUUCAUGGUCUCAGUAUGAAGGAACACAGUGCCUCCAAUAUGUUGAUGAUAUUCUCUUGGCUUCUUCUGACCCUGUCUCUCAUUUCCAGGCUCUGGAAGCUUUACUCAAAGCUUUGGAAAAAUACAAUAUGAAAGCAAGUCCAAAGAAGGCCCAAAUCGCACAAGACGCUGUCCAGUAUUUGGGCUUUACCAUAUCCCAGGGCUCGAAGCAACUCACUGUUGACCGGAGAACUGCUAUUGCCACUGCUCCGCGUCCCCGCACUGUCCGUGAUGUUCGUAAGAUUCUGGGACUUUUUAACUUCUGCAGGAACCACAUACCUGACUUUUCUGUUAUUGCAACACCAAUCAAUGCUCUUUUGAAGGGCUCCCAUCGCCCAUUGGAGACCGUUGAUUGGACAACCGAGUGUGAAGAUGCAUUCAGCACUCUCAAAUCUGCUCUCACUUCUGCCCCUGCUUUAGGUUUCCCUUGUUCUGACCUCCCGUUCUUUCUAUGGUCAGCUGUGAAACAAGGCCACAUGACAGCCGUUCUUACUCAGCCCCAUGGAGGCAUACAACGCCCCGUUGCUUACUAUUCUUCUCGCCUGGAUUCUGUCGCUUCUGGUCUUUCCCCUUGCUUACAGGAAGUGCAGGCUGCCGCCACAGCAGUAACGGUCUCCGCUGCACUAGUCUCAGGAGCUCCACUCUCUGUCAAUGUCUCUCAUGCUGUGCAUAACAUACUAACCCAAGGCCGUUUCUCUCGUGUUUCAGCAGCCAGGUGGACUAGAUGGGAAGCCAUCUUGUUAGCUCCGCUUAUCACACUCAUCCACUCCCCAGCUGUGAACCCAGCCACUCUCUUACCUGUCGAGGGAGACGGGGAGCCACAUGAGUGCCCAUUGUCUCCAGAUCACCCAUCCAAUUCAGACAUCUCUGAAACACCUCUUUCUGACAAUGAUUUCUCACUUUUUGUUGAUGGAUCUCGUUUUUACAAUGGGGCCCACCCAGUUACAGGAUAUGCAGUUGUUGACAUUGCUGGUCAGGUAAUGGCAUCAGGCCGCCUUCCAAGUUCAGAUUCAGCACAGGUGGCUGAACUUGUUGCCCUCACUCAUGCCUGUGAGUUGGGUUCUGGGAAACGACUUACUAUAUACACUGAUUCCAGGUAUGCAUUUGGUGUUGUCCAUGACUUUAUGGUUAACUGGUCAUCUCGGGGUUUCCUGACUUCAUCAGGUACCCCGAUAAAAAAUGGGGGGGUUGUUCAGAAUCUCAUAACUGCCUCUAAACUACCAAACAAACUAGCAGUUGUAAAAGUGAAAGCGCACACUAAAGGACAAGAUGCAAUCAGCUUGGGUAACCACUGGGCAGAUGAAGCUGCCAAAGCAGCAGCUUUAAAUGACUCCCUGCCUACUUACAAAAUUGCAGCUAUUGACAUGUCGGGUCCAACUAACAUUGACAUAGCUAAACUACAGGAUGCCUGUACAAGAGCUGAAAAUGGACGUGGAUUGAAAAUGCAUGCACUCUUAAUGAUGACAACAUUUGGCACACACAGGACGGGAAAGUUGUUGCCCCUCAGAGCAUCCUUUCAUUGCUUUGUGAAGUAUACCAUGGCAUUGCACACAAUGGAGAAAGAACAAUGCGGCACAACAUGUCACUUCAUUGGUGGUCUCCCAAAAUGACCAAGACUCUGAAAGAUAAACAAAAGGAGGGGGGGCAAGAAUCGCAGACAUAUGAACCUGGACAAUGGGUUAUGAUAAGAGCCCCUCAUCCUAGAUCUUUCCAACCUCGAUGGCAAGGACCACACCAGGUCUUACUAACCUCUGAGACUGCUCUUCGAGUUACAGGCAUCCCGGUCUGGAUCCACCAAUCCCGGACCAAACCAUGCCCAUCACCCGAAGACCUCAAAAAGCCUGAAGAACUCCCUGCCACGGACGACUGCAGCCUUCACGAAUCAGGUGCAAACGUUCCAAUUUUUUCACAUACUCAACCAAAUUGAGCAUUCAAGUUAUGCUCCCAUCCAACAUGCUGAAUUCAUUUGUAAUUAUAAUCACAGUUUUGAGCCAUGGUGGAGUAAGUGCUGUGGACAAUAACAUUUACAUGCAAUUAGUUCACAUGACAGCCAAACAUGCAAAUAAGACUGGCUGCUAUGUCUGUGGAUUAAUACCACAUUCUGUCGCACUUGGUGUUCCAAUGAUGUCCGUACCUAUCGCCUCCAAGUAUAACACUGCAGAUAGCGAUAGCAAAAGUGAACUUGUUACCAGACCUAAACAUAUAUGUGAUCCUGAACCCAUUAACAUUGCUCUGUCUCUUGGCCCAUA